GUAAGGUGAUGUCUAUUGGUUAAGCAUUGAGCUUUGGACCAGAAGAUCCUGUUCAAAUCCCAGCCUGACGGGAAAAUCACUAAGGGCUCUUUGGCAAGGUCCUUAAUCCCCUAGUUGCUCCCGGUGUGUAGGCAGUGUGUCUGAAUGCCUGUG
Thalassophryne amazonica is the source of this 153-nucleotide long non-coding RNA. RefSeq lists it as uncharacterized. Lineage: Eukaryota; Metazoa; Chordata; Actinopteri; Batrachoidiformes; Batrachoididae. The transcript has 3 exons. The record is from RefSeq and is a predicted model, not a curated record.